Molecule: ribosomal RNA, 407 nt
Filed under: uncultured bacterium
Lineage: Bacteria
Also listed under: 1 other name
Description: bacterial SSU rRNA
Rfam family: Bacterial small subunit ribosomal RNA
Source: RNAcentral
UGGGGAAUAUUGGGCAAUGGGCGAAAGCCUGACCCAGCAACGCCGCGUGAGGGAAGAAGGGUUUCGGCUCGUAAACCUCUGUCCUAUGGGACGAAGGAAGUGACGGUACCAUAGGAGGAAGCCCCGGCUAACUACGUGCCAGCAGCCGCGGUAAUACGUAGGGGGCGAGCGUUGUCCGGAAUGAUUGGGCGUAAAGGGCGCGUAGGCGGCCUGCUAAGUCUGGAGUGAAAGUCCUGCUUUCAAGGUGGGAAUUGCUUUGGAUACUGGUGGGCUGGAGUGCAGGAGAGGAAAGCGGAAUUACCGGUGUAGCGGUGAAAUGCGUAGAGAUCGGUAGGAACACCAGUGGCGAAGGCGGCUUUCUGGACUGAAACUGACGCUGAGGCGCGAAAGCGUGGGGAGCAAACAGG